AGAGUUUGAUCAUGGCUCAGAUUGAACGCUGGCGGCAGGCCUAACACAUGCAAGUCGAACGGUAACAGGAAGCAGCUUGCUGCUUCGCUGACGAGUGGCGGACGGGUGAGUAAUGUCUGGGAAACUGCCUGAUGGAGGGGGAUAACUACUGGAAACGGUAGCUAAUACCGCAUAACGUCGCAAGACCAAAGAGGGGGACCUUCGGGCCUCUUGCCAUCGGAUGUGCCCAGAUGGGAUUAGCUAGUAGGUGGGGUAACGGCUCACCUAGGCGACGAUCCCUAGCUGGUCUGAGAGGAUGACCAGCCACACUGGAACUGAGACACGGUCCAGACUCCUACGGGAGGCAGCAGUGGGGAAUAUUGCACAAUGGGCGCAAGCCUGAUGCAGCCAUGCCGCGUGUAUGAAGAAGGCCUUCGGGUUGUAAAGUACUUUCAGCGGGGAGGAAGGGAGUAAAGUUAAUACCUUUGCUCAUUGACGUUACCCGCAGAAGAAGCACCGGCUAACUCCGUGCCAGCAGCCGCGGUAAUACGGAGGGUGCAAGCGUUAAUCGGAAUUACUGGGCGUAAAGCGCACGCAGGCGGUUUGUUAAGUCAGAUGUGAAAUCCCCGGGCUCAACCUGGGAACUGCAUCUGAUACUGGCAAGCUUGAGUCUCGUAGAGGGGGGUAGAAUUCCAGGUGUAGCGGUGAAAUGCGUAGAGAUCUGGAGGAAUACCGGUGGCGAAGGCGGCCCCCUGGACGAAGACUGACGCUCAGGUGCGAAAGCGUGGGGAGCAAACAGGAUUAGAUACCCUGGUAGUCCACGCCGUAAACGAUGUCGACUUGGAGGUUGUGCCCUUGAGGCGUGGCUUCCGGAGCUAACGCGUUAAGUCGACCGCCUGGGGAGUACGGCCGCAAGGUUAAAACUCAAAUGAAUUGACGGGGGCCCGCACAAGCGGUGGAGCAUGUGGUUUAAUUCGAUGCAACGCGAAGAACCUUACCUGGUCUUGACAUCCACAGAACUUUCCAGAGAUGGAUUGGUGCCUUCGGGAACUGUGAGACAGGUGCUGCAUGGCUGUCGUCAGCUCGUGUUGUGAAAUGUUGGGUUAAGUCCCGCAACGAGCGCAACCCUUAUCCUUUGUUGCCAGCGGUCCGGCCGGGAACUCAAAGGAGACUGCCAGUGAUAAACUGGAGGAAGGUGGGAUGACGUCAAGUCAUCAUGGCCCUUACGACCAGGGCUACACACGUGCUACAAUGGCGCAUACAAAGAGAAGCGACCUCGCGAGAGCAAGCGGACCUCAUAAAGUGCGUCGUAGUCCGGAUUGGAGUCUGCAACUCGACUCCAUGAAGUCGGAAUCGCUAGUAAUCGUGGAUCAGAAUGCCACGGUGAAUACGUUCCCGGGCCUUGUACACACCGCCCGUCACACCAUGGGAGUGGGUUGCAAAAGAAGUAGGUAGCUUAACCUUCGGGAGGGCGCUUACCACUUUGUGAUUCAUGACUGGGGUGAAGUCGUAACAAGGUAACCGUAGGGGAACCUGCGGUUGGAUCACCU
Molecule: ribosomal RNA, 1529 nt
Filed under: Escherichia coli 2719100
Lineage: Bacteria; Pseudomonadati; Pseudomonadota; Gammaproteobacteria; Enterobacterales; Enterobacteriaceae
Description: bacterial SSU rRNA
Rfam family: Bacterial small subunit ribosomal RNA
Source: RNAcentral